Molecule: unclassified non-coding RNA, 440 nt
Filed under: Candida albicans
Lineage: Eukaryota; Fungi; Ascomycota; Pichiomycetes; Serinales; Debaryomycetaceae
Description: sequence contains 18S rRNA gene, ITS1, 5.8S rRNA gene, ITS2, 28S rRNA gene
Rfam family: 5.8S ribosomal RNA (bases 140-293)
Source: RNAcentral
CUGAUUUGCUUAAUUGCACCACAUGUGUUUUUCUUUGAAACAAACUUGCUUUGGCGGUGGGCCCAGCCUGCCGCCAGAGGUCUAAACUUACAACCAAUUUUUUAUCAACUUGUCACACCAGAUUAUUACUAAUAGUCAAAACUUUCAACAACGGAUCUCUUGGUUCUCGCAUCGAUGAAGAACGCAGCGAAAUGCGAUACGUAAUAUGAAUUGCAGAUAUUCGUGAAUCAUCGAAUCUUUGAACGCACAUUGCGCCCUCUGGUAUUCCGGAGGGCAUGCCUGUUUGAGCGUCGUUUCUCCCUCAAACCGCUGGGUUUGGUGUUGAGCAAUACGACUUGGGUUUGCUUGAAAGACGGUAGUGGUAAGGCGGGAUCGCUUUGACAAUGGCUUAGGUCUAACCAAAAACAUUGCUUGCGGCGGUAACGUCUACCACGUAUAUC